RNAcentral lists this ribosomal RNA (306 nucleotides) under uncultured bacterium. Its description in RNAcentral is "partial 16S ribosomal RNA". It matches the Rfam family "Bacterial small subunit ribosomal RNA", at positions 507 to 807 of the family's 1533-position model. The record is from RNAcentral.
GACAGCAGUAGCCGCGGGAAUACAGAGGGUGCGAGCGUUAAUCGGAUUUACUGGGCGUAAAGCGUGCGUAGGCGGCUUCUUAAGUCGGAUGUGAAAUCCCUGAGCUUAACUUAGGAAUUGCAUUCGAUACUGGGAAGCUAGAGUAUGGGAGAGGAUGGUAGAAUUCCAGGUGUAGCGGUGAAAUGCGUAGAGAUCUGGAGGAAUACCGAUGGCGAAGGCAGCCAUCUGGCCUAAUACUGACGCUGAGGUACGAAAGCAUGGGGAGCAAACAGGAUUAGAUACCCCAGUAGUCCCUGUCUCUUAUAC